AAUGAUUUUUCCAAGGCAUAAAGCAAACUAGUUUUGGAGCUGGGAUUGAGCUCAGGAAUCCCAGGCCGGUGCUCUUUCCACACUACUUACCCCCUUCCAACAAAAGGGCAGAAAUGGCCCCAUGAUGGCAAUCAUUCGUGUGGGGCAUAGGAUGAGUUAAGGCAGCAACAGGAACCAUCAGAAUUGCAUCAUUCUGGUUCAGGGAUAGAGAUCCAGGCAUGAUCUAGACUGUAAGCGCAUUAUGGGCAGGAGAUGUAUCUGCUAAUUCCAUUGAAUCGUACUCUCCCAAGAGUUUAGUACAGUGCUUUACACAUAGUAAUCACUCAAAAAAUACCAUUGAUUGACUGAUGAUUAUGAUCCUCCCAGCUAAGCCUUGGCUCUUCCCUUUCUCUGAACAAGUCUAGCCUAGGAGUCUACGUAGAGUGAUGAAAACCACAGCCCGUGUGAACCUCCUCCACAGAAAAUUACCUUAGAUGCAACCCUGGAUGACUGGUCUCUGGCCAAACACCUGCAGAAACACAUUUUCGGGAUCCAGCUCUUGCAGAAUGCUGUUCUCGAUGAUGACAUCAGGACACAUCAGCAUGGCCAGUGCGUUAUCCGGAAAGCCAGAACAUCAUCUCUGGGAGGAAAGGAGAGUCAGUUAUAAGACAGAGAUCAACAUCUACUGUGAUGCUGCCGUCAUGACAAAUAAAACAGCUCUACCAAAUUCCAUCUAUGCUGUCUGAAGCAAAUUGCCAGCAUAAAAUGGCAAGAUCCAAUCUGAAACUCCUAAGUCCUGCAACACUGUGGGAUCGCGGGAACUGAGGCAAUGACAGUCAAUGUUCAGGUGUGAUGGGAUAGUCAUCUGAUGCACAUAGAUAAUAAGAAUAUUCCCAAGGUGAUCUUCUAUGGAGAGCUUAGCACCAGAGCAUGAUCAAGAAGUGGCAAAAGAAAAAAGCACAAACUGAAGACUACAUUUGGGGUGUGCCUCACUGAUAUGAGGGCUUGGGAGCUUGCAGUCUGGAGCAAAACCUCGUGACAUCGGAUCUGCCCUUUAACCUAAGAAGGCAAACACAUUAUUGCAGCAGAAAAACGUGAGGUGAAAGAUGGUUUCAAGUGCUAUAGGAUAAUUAGUGCCCUAGACUGUAAAUUCAUCUCUAGACUGUAAGCUCGUUGUGAGCAGGGAACAUUCCUACCAACUCUGUGACACUGAGCUCUCCCUAAUGCUUAGUACAGUGCUCUGCACAGAGUUAGCACUUAAUAAAUACCAUUGACUGAAAUACUAGUGAUUACUGAUUCUGCUCUGUAUGCCCUGCAGUCAGCCGUGAGUCUUGAGGCUCAAUUUCCAAGCACACCUCCAAUCACCCCAGAGUGACAAGAAGAUGGAGGAUCCCCCACAGCUUUCAAUGGAGACUUCAUCUUCAUUAUCUUAUUUUAAGGAUUCUUUUCCCCUUGCUUUCUCAAAUACAUGCAAAUCAAAUUCCUCCUACUUUUAUUUUAAAUACUAUGCUAUAAGGAGGAAAGGGAAAGAUGCAAGAGGGUAGGGUUAAGGGAUGGGUUUACGGUUGGGACCAAUCUGUGCAGCAAAGUGAAACAUUUACUUUUACUGUCUUUUUCCAAGCACUUAACAUAGUGCUGUGUUAGGGUGGGGCUCAAUAAAUACUGUUCACUGAUGUGUCAACAAUAUCACUUCCUAUUAAAAUAGAUCCUCUCCUUUCUUUCUUCUCCAGGGAUUCCCAGACAAAAAAGUCAAUAAACAGUGACUAAGGUGAAUGUAUGGAUGAUCUAUUAACAAAGCAAACCAGUAUAGCGAAAAGGGGCUCGGAGUAGAAAUCGAGUCUGCUUUUCAGAGAGAUAAUCCAGCUCAAUUUAUGGUACCUAAGAUACACAUGCACACACACCCCUUGUCCUUCACCUGACCAUGAAGUACACACACACACAUUCCUAAAGAGAUAGUACCCCUGGAAAUAUUUUGAAUUCUUUGGAGGGAAGGAGAAUAAUGCCAGUCAUUAGUGCCUUGGGACUGUAAGAGGUUGGUACCUCGCUAUUUCACUGAUCCCUUCCAAACAACCAAGAACUAGAGUUAUCAUCACCUCAUUAGCUUCACAGCUUUGCUUUCUCUAUGACAAAUAACAGGCUGGAAAACGAAGAGUUCGGAAUCUCGGGUCUAUUGAGGUAGGAUUUCCCCCCCCCUUUUUUUUCCCCAUUUGCAAUUAGAUAACUCUGACUCUUUCUGGCUGGUUAGCCCAAUGUUUUCUAGAACAGCAAACAAAAGUUGCUGAGAAAAAUAUAAAUGCCGAACACGUAAAUUUCUCCAGUUACAUUUUUCCCCCAGUCUAGAAUGUCCUCUGUUGUCUCUCAGUAUGUUACAGCCACCUGACAUCCCUGGUUGAGAGGCAAUCAUAGAAGAGUAUGCUGGCAUCCUUACAAUAUAAUGACAAUCAGUUACUGUAAAUGUGCAGGAGCUGAUAACAGAAUUCAUAGGGGUCAGAAAGACACCGGGGAAAAUAGAUGCCUUAUUCAAGAAAGAGGAGCAGCAACAGACCUUGGAUAGAUGGCAUCUUAAAACAUUUGUUAAUUUGCAGUUGUAAAACAUAGGGAAGUAAACUGAAAUCCUGAUAAAUGGCCAUUUAGAAAGGGGGCACCUCCCAUUGAACAGGCUUUGCUGGAGUUUAAAAAAAAUUUAUUUUCUGCCACCACCCUCCCACUUUCAUUGUCCUAAAAGGGAAGAGGAGUUAUGACAAGAGAAAGGAAGACACACUCAUCAGAUUUAUUCUAUUUGUCCUAAUGAGUUGUUAUUGAAUUAUGCAGUUAAACCAUUUCUACAUAAACAACAGGCAAGCAGGAGCCCUUAGAAAGCCUAUAAGCAUACCAAUUUCAAGAGCAGAUUAGAGCCUCAGCAUUGAAGAUUUAUCUCAGCAGCAAAUGCACUGUACCAGGAAAUUACUACCAAGCAGCAAAGAGUCAGCAGCAACCAGGAAUUUUGAGGUUCUAUUCGAUUCACGAUCACCUUUGGAACUUUCACCUGCCUGCUCUUCUUUUCUUCCUCUGCUCAUCGACUUCUUACUCUCUAAG
Molecule: long non-coding RNA, 3054 nt
Filed under: Ornithorhynchus anatinus (platypus)
Lineage: Eukaryota; Metazoa; Chordata; Mammalia; Monotremata; Ornithorhynchidae
Description: lncRNA (ENSOANG00000049326.1)
Source: RNAcentral